Molecule: long non-coding RNA, 402 nt
Organism: Amphibalanus amphitrite
Lineage: Eukaryota; Metazoa; Arthropoda; Thecostraca; Balanomorpha; Balanidae
Exons: 3
Source: RefSeq, a predicted model, not a curated record
GGGAGGGUCACGCGCGGUGCCGGCUCAUGGGUGUGCUAUAUCGUGGUGGAACGGUGCGCCGGUCGAGGAGGAGCUGAGCUGAAGACGGGGAUGCCGGCGUGCGGCGGCGCCCUCUCUGCAUGGCCCGGCUGCUGAGUGUCCUCCGGCGCGCCGUGCAGCGCCCCCGGCCCUACAGCGGCGCCCCUGAGCCCUCGCGCCGCCGACGCCCCCACCGCCGGCCAUGCCGGGAGGCAGGAGGGGCCUCGUCGCCCCGCAAAACACCUUCCUCGAGAACAUCAUACGUCGGUCGUCAUCGCAACCGGACAGCAGCUUUUUACUGGCCAAUGCGCAGAUUGUCGACUACCCAAUUGUCUACUGCAACGAGACAUUCUGCAAAAUAUCCGGCUUCAACCGAGCUGAGGU